RNAcentral lists this ribosomal RNA (1069 nucleotides) under Aurantiochytrium limacinum. RNAcentral describes it as "partial Bacterial small subunit ribosomal RNA". It matches the Rfam family "Bacterial small subunit ribosomal RNA", at positions 342 to 1401 of the family's 1533-position model. The record is from RNAcentral. Lineage: Eukaryota; Bigyra; Thraustochytrida; Thraustochytriidae.
CGGGAGGCAGCAGUGGGGAAUAUUGGACAAUGGGGGCAACCCUGAUCCAGCCAUGCCGCGUGUGUGAAGAAGGCCUUUUGGUUGUAAAGCACUUUAAGCAGGGAGGAGAGGCUAAUGGUUAAUACCCAUUAGAUUAGACGUUACCUGCAGAAUAAGCACCGGCUAACUCUGUGCCAGCAGCCGCGGUAAUACAGAGGGUGCGAGCGUUAAUCGGAAUUACUGGGCGUAAAGCGAGUGUAGGUGGCUCAUUAAGUCACAUGUGAAAUCCCCGGGCUUAACCUGGGAACUGCAUGUGAUACUGGUGGUGCUAGAAUAUGUGAGAGGGAAGUAGAAUUCCAGGUGUAGCGGUGAAAUGCGUAGAGAUCUGGAGGAAUACCGAUGGCGAAGGCAGCUUCCUGGCAUAAUAUUGACACUGAGAUUCGAAAGCGUGGGUAGCAAACAGGAUUAGAUACCCUGGUAGUCCACGCCGUAAACGAUGUCUACUAGCCGUUGGGGUCCUUGAGACUUUAGUGGCGCAGUUAACGCGAUAAGUAGACCGCCUGGGGAGUACGGCCGCAAGGUUAAAACUCAAAUGAAUUGACGGGGGCCCGCACAAGCGGUGGAGCAUGUGGUUUAAUUCGAUGCAACGCGAAGAACCUUACCUGGUCUUGACAUCCACGGAACUUUCCAGAGAUGGAUUGGUGCCUUCGGGAACCGUGAGACAGGUGCUGCAUGGCUGUCGUCAGCUCGUGUCGUGAGAUGUUGGGUUAAGCCCCGCAACGAGCGCAACCCUCGUUCUAUGUUGCCAGCACGUGAUGGUGGGGACUCAUAGGAGACUGCCGGGGUCAACUCGGAGGAAGGUGGGGAUGACGUCAAAUCAUCAUGCCCCUUAUGACCUGGGCUACACACGUGCUACAAUGGACAAUACAAAGGGCAGCGAAACCGCGAGGUCAAGCAAAUCCCAUAAAGUUGUUCUCAGUUCGGAUUGUAGUCUGCAACUCGACUACAUGAAGUUGGAAUCGCUAGUAAUCGCUGGUCAGCUAUACAGCGGUGAAUUCGUUCCCGGGCCUUGUACACACCGCCCGUCACA